UGCGUAGGCGGCUCCGUAAGUCUGGUGUGAAAGCCCUGGGCUCAGCCCGGGAAGGGCGCUAGAAACUGGGGAGCUGGAGUGCCGGAGGGGAGAGUGGAAUUCCUGGUGUAGCGGUGAAAUGCGUAGAGAUCAGGAGGAAUACCGGUGGCGAAAGCGACUCUCUGGACGGCAACUGACGCUGAGGCACGAAAGCGUGGGGAGCAAACA
This 207-nucleotide ribosomal RNA is filed under the name uncultured bacterium. RNAcentral's name for it is "partial 16S ribosomal RNA". It matches the Rfam family "Bacterial small subunit ribosomal RNA", at positions 568 to 774 of the family's 1533-position model. The record is from RNAcentral.